GACGAACGCUGGCGGCGUGCCUAAUACAUGCAAGUAGAACGCUGAAGGAGGAGCUUGCUUCUCUGGAUGAGUUGCGAACGGGUGAGUAACGCGUAGGUAACCUGCCUGGUAGCGGGGGAUAACUAUUGGAAACGAUAGCUAAUACCGCAUAAUAGUAGAUGUUGCAUGACAUUUGCUUAAAAGGUGCAAUUGCAUCACUACCAGAUGGACCUGCGUUGUAUUAGCUAGUUGGUGGGGUAACGGCUCACCAAGGCGACGAUACAUAGCCGACCGGAGAGGGUGAUCGGCCACCCUGGGACUGAGACACGGCCCAGACUCCUACGGGAGGCAGCAGUAGGGAAUCUUCGGCAAUGGCCGGAAGUCUGACCGAGCAACGCCGCGUGAGUGAAGAAGGUUUUCGGAUCGUAAAGCUCUGUUGUAAGAGAAGAACGAGUGUGAGAGUGGAAAGUUCACACUGUGACGGUAUCUUACCAGAAAGGGACGGCUAACUACGUG
Molecule: ribosomal RNA, 495 nt
Filed under: uncultured bacterium
Lineage: Bacteria
Description: partial 16S ribosomal RNA
Rfam family: Bacterial small subunit ribosomal RNA
Source: RNAcentral